CCUACGGGAGGCUGCAGUGGGGAAUAUUGCACAAUGGGCGCAAGCCUGAUGCAGCCAUGCCGCGUGUGUGAAGAAGGCCUUCGGGUUGUAAAGCACUUUCAGCGGGGAGGAAGGCGUUAAGGUUAAUAACCUUGGCGAUUGACGUUACCCGCAGAAGAAGCACCGGCUAACUCCGUGCCAGCAGCCGCGGUAAUACGGAGGGUGCAAGCGUUAAUCGGAAUUACUGGGCGUAAAGCGCACGCAGGCGGUCUGUCAAGUCGGAUGUGAAAGCCCCGGGCUCAACCUGGGAACUGCAUUCGAAACUGGCAGGCUAGAGUCUUGUAGAGGAGGGUAGAAUUCCAGGUGUAGCGGUGAAAUGCGUAGAGAUCUGGAGGAAUACCGGUGGCGAAGGCGGCCCCCUGGACAAAGACUGACGCUCAGGUGCGAAAGCGUGGGGAGCAAACAGGAUUAGAUACCCGGGUAGUC
RNAcentral lists this ribosomal RNA (465 nucleotides) under uncultured Klebsiella sp. RNAcentral's name for it is "bacterial SSU rRNA". It matches the Rfam family "Bacterial small subunit ribosomal RNA", at positions 338 to 795 of the family's 1533-position model. Lineage: Bacteria; Pseudomonadati; Pseudomonadota; Gammaproteobacteria; Enterobacterales; Enterobacteriaceae. The record is from RNAcentral.